UUCUGACUGCAGGCAGCUGUGUCUCGCAGCCUGUGGGCUUUCUCUGGCUGCUGUAGCCCACUACGCCUGCAGCAGGACUGGAGGCUUGCAGGACUGAUACCCAUUCCCCAGAGCAACCCUCAACCAAUGACCAUCAGGAUUGGGUGGAUAAAUAUCCCAGCUCUCUUACUCUUCAGCACCAUGAGAAGAGCUUCUCCCCUGUAAAUGGCCACUCACACUUGCGGGUCCAUGACUAGCCAACCUGAACCCAUUCCACAGUGAGGACCCAAGCCCAGCAGAUCUGCAGCCAAAACCAAAGUUGCUCAGUGGGACCCAUGCCACAUAAGCUGACCCAUGGCCAACCUGAAAAUAAAUUUUCAGCCAAGACACUCUUUUGCAGCCUAAGAGGGUUAUUAUGGAGAGGUGGAAAGAUCUUCAAACCUGGAAGGCUUGCUUCAAACCCCAGCUCUACUCCAACUACAGGAUUGGGGCAG
This is a long non-coding RNA of Gorilla gorilla gorilla (western lowland gorilla), 473 nucleotides long. RefSeq lists it as uncharacterized. NCBI's taxonomy places the organism in Eukaryota, Metazoa, Chordata, Mammalia, Primates, Hominidae. The record is from RefSeq and is a predicted model, not a curated record. The transcript has 3 exons.